This 253-nucleotide ribosomal RNA is filed under the name uncultured bacterium. Its description in RNAcentral is "partial 16S ribosomal RNA". It matches the Rfam family "Bacterial small subunit ribosomal RNA", at positions 524 to 776 of the family's 1533-position model. The record is from RNAcentral.
UACGUGGGUGGCAAGCGUUGUCCGGAUUUAUUGGGUUUAAAGGGUGCGUAGGCGGCUUUUUAAGUCAGUGGUGAAAGCCGAUCGCUUAACGAUCGAACUGCCAUUGAUACUGAGAGGCUUGAGUAUAGUUGAGGUAGGCGGAAUUGACAGUGUAGCGGUGAAAUGCAUAGAUAUUGUGAGGAACACCAAUUGCGAAGGCAGCUUACUAAAGUAUAACUGACGCUGAGGCACGAAAGUGAGGGGAGCAAACAGG